This is a non-coding RNA of Mycena rosella, 90 nucleotides long. The record is from the annotation of a GenBank genome assembly. Lineage: Eukaryota; Fungi; Basidiomycota; Agaricomycetes; Agaricales; Mycenaceae.
GGCCCGGUCGCGGAUGGUCCGCGCCUGCAUGCUAUAAUUCGAACAGUUCCAGUUCUGCAGGACUCGCUCGUUCGAACUGAGCCCGGGCCU